UCAUGGCCCGCUAUAGUCGGCCUCCUCAUAUCGCGUACGGACGGAAGCCGGUGAAAAUCCGGCGCGGUCGCGCCACUGUGACCGCAGCCGAUGGCUGCGGGAGUCAGACCCGCCGGAUGCGAGCCUUGUCG
Molecule: non-coding RNA, 131 nt
Filed under: Microlunatus soli
Lineage: Bacteria; Bacillati; Actinomycetota; Actinomycetes; Propionibacteriales; Propionibacteriaceae
Source: RNAcentral